UACGAAGGGGGCUAGCGUUGCUCGGAAUCACUGGGCGUAAAGCGCACGUAGGCGGACUCUUAAGUCGGUGGUGAAAUCCUGGAGCUCAACUCCAGAACUGCCUUCGAUACUGGGGGUCUCGAGUCCGAGAGAGGUGAGUGGAACUGCGAGUGUAGAGGUGAAAUUCGUAGAUAUUCGCAAGAACACCAGUGGCGAAGGCGGCUCACUGGCUCGGUACUGACGCUGAGGUGCGAAAGCGUGGGGAGCAAACAGG
Molecule: ribosomal RNA, 253 nt
Filed under: uncultured bacterium
Lineage: Bacteria
Description: partial 16S ribosomal RNA
Rfam family: Bacterial small subunit ribosomal RNA
Source: RNAcentral